UUCACUAUAACCCUAUAAAAUAGAUGCUAUCUUCAUUAUCCCCUUCUUACAGAUGAGAAAAUUAAAGAGAUUAAAUGAUUUGCCCAUGGGGCAGGAUUUGAACUCCCAUUACACCUCAACUGUCAGUCAAUCAAUGGAGGUCCGAUGCUUGGAUCAGAUACUCAUUAAAUUGUUGAUGGAACUCCAUGCUGGCAUCCAAGACUUGAAGCAAGAAUAUAGUGAUUUGACAGAUGCAGAAUCCAGCUCCCACCAAAUGGACAAUCCCAACGAUAUAUAUUUUGAUGUACCGAUAUUAAUAAAACCUUUCCUUCUGUAUAAAAUUCCUUUAAGGAAGACAUCUUGUAGAAGAAGUUCCAUGCCAUGAUCCAGCAAUAUAAACUGAUCUUCUGAUGCUAAUCAAUAUCAAUUAGUAUUUCUAACUCAGAAUAUUUCCUUCUCUGCACCAUACCAGGAAGGAAUGUUUAUAUGAUUCCUUUUACUUUCAGAUGUUUUGUUAAAUGAAGUUAACCGUAGUAGAUGAGUCCAUUUUGCUAAUGUUUUUCUUCAUCUUCCUCAUCUGUUUGAUUUUUAAGAAGCCAACUCUUAGUCUCAAAUCAAAUAACAACAGAAAGGUUCAAGCUUCUAAUAGAAUUAGGUUAAUUUUCAUUUAGGUAACUAAAAACCAAAUGUGAGCAUUUUGGAUAGACAGUAAGGAUAUUGCCUUAUGAGAAAUAAGUGUGUAUAUAACUUCCUAUAAAGAUAAGUCUUUCAGUUUUUGAAACUCCCAACACUUCUGUCUUUCCUGAUAUUUCAACACUUCCUAAUGACGAUAGACAUGCAUUCAGAAGAUACCCAAAAUGUAAAAGCACAGAUUUAUAUCUUUUUAAAAAAAUUUUAGUUAAAAAUUUUAAUCAAGCAUUUUAUUUUGUUUCACAUUUUUAAAUUGUAUUCUUAAAAUAAAGUUUAGUUCUUAUGCA
RNAcentral lists this long non-coding RNA (956 nucleotides) under Monodelphis domestica (gray short-tailed opossum). Its description in RNAcentral is "lncRNA (ENSMODG00000039797.1)". The record is from RNAcentral. Lineage: Eukaryota; Metazoa; Chordata; Mammalia; Didelphimorphia; Didelphidae.